Molecule: ribosomal RNA, 873 nt
Filed under: uncultured candidate division GN03 bacterium
Lineage: Bacteria
Description: bacterial SSU rRNA
Rfam family: Bacterial small subunit ribosomal RNA
Source: RNAcentral
CCGUGGUCAAUACCCACUGCGCCUGAAGGUACCUCCAAAGGAAGCUCCGGCUAACUCCGUGCCAGCAGCCGCGGUAAUACGGAGGGAGCGAACGUUGUUCGGAUUUACUGGGUGUAAAGGGUGCGUAGGCGGCUACGUGUGUCAGAGGUGAAAGCUCACGGCUCAACCGUGGAAUUGCCUUUGAAACUGCGUAGCUUGAGUCCGAGAGAGGAUGAUGGAAUUCCUGGUGUAACGGUGAAAUGUGCAGGAUAUCAGGAAGAACACCGGUGGCGAAGGCGGUCAUCUGGCUCGGUACUGACGCUGAGGCACGAAAGCUAGGGUAUCAAACGGGAUUAGAUACCCCGGUAGUCCUAGCCGUAAACGAUGUCCACUAGGUGUCGGAGGUUCUACCCCUUCGGUGCCGCAGCUAACGCAUUAAGUGGACCACCUGGGGAGUACGCUCGCAAGGGUGAAACUCAAAGGAAUUGACGGGGGCCCGCACAAGCGGUGGAGCAUGUGGUUUAAUUCGAUGCAACGCGAAGAACCUUACCUGGGCUUGACAUGCAGGGGACAGGUGUAGAGAUACACCCUUCUUCGGACUCCUGUACAGGUGCUGCAUGGCUGUCGUCAGCUCGUGUCGUGAAAUGUUGGGUUAAGUCCCGCAACGAGCGCAACCCUUGUCCUUAGUUGCCAGCACGUCAUGGUGGGAACUCUAGGGAGACUGCCGGUGACAAACCGGAGGAAGGUGGGGACGACGUCAAGUCAUCAUGGCCCUUACGUCCAGGGCUACACACGUGCUACAAUGGCACAUACAGAGGGCCGCGAACCCGCGAGGGGGAGCCAAUCCCAAAAAGUGUGCCUCAGUUCGGAUCGCAGUCUGCAACUCGACUGCGU